GGUAGUCCUGGAAGCUCUUCAGGAAACAAAUCUGGGAAUUCUCGAACAACUGGUACUGAGGAUGGUUCCCUAACCUGACUGUCUAGCUCUCUCACAUAAGCUAGGAACCCCUGACACCCCUUCCUUAACAUCCUACGAGCCUGGAGGGCUGAUAUCAAACCCCUAGGUGUCCCUCUCCUGUCUCCUCUGAAGACACACUCUGACCCAUCCUGGUCUNNNNNNN
RNAcentral lists this long non-coding RNA (223 nucleotides) under Manihot esculenta (cassava). RNAcentral's name for it is "long non-coding RNA (MESC_LNC011943)". The record is from RNAcentral. Lineage: Eukaryota; Viridiplantae; Streptophyta; Magnoliopsida; Malpighiales; Euphorbiaceae.